AUGCAGGCCGCCGCCUCCUGGGGCAAGGGCCUCCCCGGCCUGCGGAGCCACCUCUGCGCCGCCGCGUCGUUCCACUCCACGCCCCCCUCCCCCGCCAAGUGGAAGGGCAAGUUCGGUUGCAAGCAUGAACAUGGAGAACGGAAGCUAUCCAAGAAAUAUGAGCGAUACGUUGUUCGUCAAAAACGAGCAGAAGGAAAGAAGGCCCUGCAAAAUUACCUUCUGUAUGGAAAGUCAACACCUCAUAUAGAGGAUGGAAGUAUGGGCAGCUUUGCUAAUUCGCAUGAUAUUCCACGAUUCAAAACGUUCAGAAAAAAACAGGAUCACAGUUCAACAAAACCUCGACAAGGAGUACACCAUCAAAGAAAGGACAAAAAGGACAAGGCGAAGUUCUACAACUUUUUCUACGAAACCCGUUAUGUGAAUCCUGAAAAUAUUUUUGAGACCAUCUUUGGCGAGCAUCACCAGAGUUUUACCUGGUCCCAUGCUUCAUGGGAGGGUUUUCACUUCAGGGCUUCAUCGUUUGGAUUCAGACGGGCUGGUGAAUCACGAAGACAAAGAGUUGAAAGCGAGAGCGAAGACGAAAGCGACGACGACGACACGGGUGAGACAGCCGGCGUUGGCUCACAUGCGCACAGGGUCACCCUUGGAUUGCCACCUCGUGGUCCACUAACCCUAGAUGAUGUCAAAACAGCCUUCCGCGCGUCUGCUCUGAGGUGGCACCCUGACAAGCACCCGGGCUCUUCACAGGCUGUAGCCGAGGAGAAGUUCAAGCUGUGCGUCAAUGCAUACAACUCGCUCUGCGCCGUCCUCAAGGCCGCGUGA
RNAcentral lists this ribosomal RNA (822 nucleotides) under Triticum aestivum (bread wheat). RNAcentral's name for it is "partial small subunit ribosomal RNA". Lineage: Eukaryota; Viridiplantae; Streptophyta; Magnoliopsida; Poales; Poaceae. The record is from RNAcentral.